GACUGCGUAGCUCAGUUGGCAGAGCAUUGGGCUAGUAUUCCAAAGGUCGUAGGUUCGAAUCCCACCGUGGUCA
Molecule: non-coding RNA, 73 nt
Organism: Paramuricea clavata
Lineage: Eukaryota; Metazoa; Cnidaria; Anthozoa; Malacalcyonacea; Plexauridae
Source: the annotation of a GenBank genome assembly